UAGGAUGUGGCUCAAGUGGUAGAGCAUUUGCCUAGCAAGCAAAAGACUCUCUGAGUUCAGUCCUCACUAUACCAA
Molecule: transfer RNA, 75 nt
Filed under: Dipodomys ordii (Ord's kangaroo rat)
Lineage: Eukaryota; Metazoa; Chordata; Mammalia; Rodentia; Heteromyidae
Rfam family: tRNA
About the family: Transfer RNA (tRNA) molecules are approximately 80 nucleotides in length. Their secondary structure includes four short double-helical elements and three loops (D, anti-codon, and T loops). Further hydrogen bonds mediate the characteristic L-shaped molecular structure. tRNAs have two regions of fundamental functional importance: the anti-codon, which is responsible for specific mRNA codon recognition, and the 3' end, to which the tRNAs corresponding amino acid is attached (by aminoacyl-tRNA synthetases). tRNAs cope with the degeneracy of the genetic code in two manners: having more than one tRNA (with a specific anti-codon) for a particular amino acid; and 'wobble' base-pairing, i.e. permitting non-standard base-pairing at the 3rd anti-codon position.
Source: Rfam by way of RNAcentral